This 1123-nucleotide ribosomal RNA is filed under the name Bacillus licheniformis. Its description in RNAcentral is "bacterial SSU rRNA". It matches the Rfam family "Bacterial small subunit ribosomal RNA", at positions 44 to 1183 of the family's 1533-position model. Lineage: Bacteria; Bacillati; Bacillota; Bacilli; Caryophanales; Bacillaceae. The record is from RNAcentral.
GUGCUAUACAUGCAGUCGAGCGGACCGACGGGAGCUUGCUCCCUUAGGUCAGCGGCGGACGGGUGAGUAACACGUGGGUAACCUGCCUGUAAGACUGGGAUAACUCCGGGAAACCGGGGCUAAUACCGGAUGCUUGAUUGAACCGCAUGGUUCAAUCAUAAAAGGUGGCUUUUAGCUACCACUUACAGAUGGACCCGCGGCGCAUUAGCUAGUUGGUGAGGUAACGGCUCACCAAGGCGACGAUGCGUAGCCGACCUGAGAGGGUGAUCGGCCACACUGGGACUGAGACACGGCCCAGACUCCUACGGGAGGCAGCAGUAGGGAAUCUUCCGCAAUGGACGAAAGUCUGACGGAGCAACGCCGCGUGAGUGAUGAAGGUUUUCGGAUCGUAAAACUCUGUUGUUAGGGAAGAACAAGUACCGUUCGAAUAGGGCGGUACCUUGACGGUACCUAACCAGAAAGCCACGGCUAACUACGUGCCAGCAGCCGCGGUAAUACGUAGGUGGCAAGCGUUGUCCGGAAUUAUUGGGCGUAAAGCGCGCGCAGGCGGUUUCUUAAGUCUGAUGUGAAAGCCCCCGGCUCAACCGGGGAGGGUCAUUGGAAACUGGGGAACUUGAGUGCAGAAGAGGAGAGUGGAAUUCCACGUGUAGCGGUGAAAUGCGUAGAGAUGUGGAGGAACACCAGUGGCGAAGGCGACUCUCUGGUCUGUAACUGACGCUGAGGCGCGAAAGCGUGGGGAGCGAACAGGAUUAGAUACCCUGGUAGUCCACGCCGUAAACGAUGAGUGCUAAGUGUUAGAGGGUUUCCGCCCUUUAGUGCUGCAGCAAACGCAUUAAGCACUCCGCCUGGGGAGUACGGUCGCAAGACUGAAACUCAAAGGAAUUGACGGGGGCCCGCACAAGCGGUGGAGCAUGUGGUUUAAUUCGAAGCACGCGAAGAACUUUACAGUCUGACAUCUCUGACACCUAGAGAUAGGCUUCCCUUCGGGGCAGAGUGACAGUUGUUGCAUGAUGUCGUCAGCUCGUGUCCUGAGAUGGUGGUAGUUCCGCACGAGGCGCAUCAUGAAUCUAGUGGCAGCAUCAGUGGCACUCUAAGUGACUGCGUGACAUCGAGAGUGGAUGAC